This 1674-nucleotide long non-coding RNA is filed under the name Homo sapiens (human). Its description in RNAcentral is "non-protein coding lnc-SNX20-8:1". The record is from RNAcentral. Lineage: Eukaryota; Metazoa; Chordata; Mammalia; Primates; Hominidae.
CCAGCUAUGGGUACCAGAUCGAAGCCCAGCCAAGCAGAAUCCUGCCUUGGGCUUUACACUAACGGAAGGUCCUUUUUCUUAUGGUUAGGGGACCCAGAAGGCCAGCAGCCAGGGUUCCCUGACAAAAGCAUGUAGUUGAGUACAAGUUAUCAAUCCGAGGGACAAGAGGGAGGGACAAGAACCAGUCUCAGCUGCAUUCACAUCCUGGACCCUGUCAUCUCAAAGCCAGUUCCCUCCCUGCCUUCCAACUUGGUUUCAUUCACUUUGGAUUGAGUUGCGUUCUCACUGAACAGAAACCCACAACCCAAAACAAGGGCAGCCCAUGGCCGUGAUUAAGCUCUGCACCAGUGGCGAAGGGAUCGAGUGGGAGACCAGAAUUCCAGCUCCGCCCUCUGUGCGGCCUCAAGGGAGUUAUGAACUUCUGAGCCUUAGACAUGCUUCCUGAGCUGCCACCAAGCUGCCUCAUGGGGCUGUCCUAAGGAUUAAUGUAUUAAUCCAAUCCCAGGCACAUCAGUCAUUAAUAAAAUUAAGAAUACGGUGACAACUAAGCCCACUACCUUUGGAAGUAACUCCUUACUAACUACAUUAAACCCAAACUCGAGGCUCUGGAAAAGAGAAUGCCAGCUGGGAGACAAAACGGCAGAAAGGAAGGUUUCUCCAGGCUCUGGCCAGACAAAAUCCUUCUCUGCAGAGGAUGCUGCUCCAGGGUCCCAACUCUGGCCACAGUCCCCUUUUCCCACCAAGUUUCUGUACCCCAGCAGUUCUCUCCAAAAUCCAUCAGACCCCAAAACCCGAGAAUGGACCUCUGAUGAAAGCAUCUGAGAGCCGUCCAGCCCCAAAAGGAGACAAGCAGGGUCACAUCUGGGUUCCAGAAGCAUCCAGGGAAGCAAACCACUGAUUUAUACACACCAGAAAAGAUACCUGAGAGUGUAUAUUUAUAGAAAGAUACAUAGAAAUGGACAGAUGGCAUCUAUCUAUAGAUACAGAAAGCUCUGUUAGAGAACCGUGUAGGUACGUAUAUAUGUGCCACAUCCUCCACCACAACCAACAGCACACAAUUGCCUGGAUCUUGGAAAACCACGCUUGUUUAAGUGGUUGGUUCCCUCCCUAGCAGUUUCCAAAAUGAGAAGGAUGGUCUCAGGGAUAGUCCUUAAAUACGUGUGUGUAUCACUGUAAAGUAGAGAGAGAAGAAGGAGAAGGAAGAGAAGUGGAUUUUCAUGUCGUGCAUGGCAGAAGAGAUGGGACUCUUGGGGAAAAGGGCUUGAUCCCACUGGAAAAGCAUGAAAGACAACUCCAGAAAAGACAGCUAAGGUUUCUAGGUUGGGACAUAAAAACACAACAGCAAGACGUUCGCACUCUGCAGUCCACUGAAAUCCCUUGUAGCAUAUAACAAUCAGUUAAGGGCAAAAUAAAAUCAGAAUAAUACUAAGAGGUAGCAGCUGUUUAUCUUCUCGGAGAUUUCGAGGGUCUCUGGAAGCCGGGCCAAGUAAGGGUGCUCUCCUGGAAGAGGCUGGGGUGGGGCAGAGUUGAGGCUAAGGGCUCCCUGGCUCUGGGAAGGGUGUGGGCUGAUCCACAUAGAUGCUGCAGAUCCCGAGCCCCGAGGGAGCCUCUGCCCAUUACAGGCCACUCAAAACCAGAGUCAUUUCCUGGGCUAGUUAUGCAGUCCCCACAACA